This 461-nucleotide ribosomal RNA is filed under the name uncultured bacterium. Its description in RNAcentral is "partial 16S ribosomal RNA". It matches the Rfam family "Bacterial small subunit ribosomal RNA", at positions 338 to 795 of the family's 1533-position model. The record is from RNAcentral.
CCUACGGGAGGCAGCAGUGAGGAAUAUUGGUCAAUGGGCGAGAGCCUGAACCAGCCAAGUCGCGUGAAGGAUGACGGCCCUACGGGUUGUAAACUUCUUUUGUCAGGGAGCAAUUGGGUCCACGCGUGGGCUUAGCGAGAGUACCUGAAGAAGAAGCCCCGGCUAACUACGUGCCAGCAGCCGCGGUAAUACGUAGGGGGCAAGCGUUAUCCGGAUUUACUGGGUGUAAAGGGAGCGUAGACGGCAGCGCAAGUCUGGAGUGAAAUGCCGGGGCCCAACCCCGGAACUGCGCUGGAUACUGUGAAGCUGGAAUGCAGGAGAGGUAAGCGGAAGUCCUGGUGUAGCGGUGAAAUGCGUAGAUAUCAGGAGGAACACCGGCGGCGAAGGCGGCUUACUGGACUGUAACUGACGUUGAGGCUCGAAGGCGUGGGGAGCAAACAGGAUUAGAUACCCGAGUAGUC